CUACGGGAGGCAGCAGUGGGGAAUAUUGCACAAUGGGCGAAAGCCUGAUGCAGCAACGCCGCGUGAGCGAUGAAGGCCUUCGGGUCGUAAAGCUCUGUCCUCAAGGAAGAUAAUGACGGUACUUGAGGAGGAAGCCACGGCUAACUACGUGCCAGCAGCCGCGGUAAUACGUAGGUGGCAAGCGUUGUCCGGAAUUAUUGGGCGUAAAGCGCGCGCAGGCGGUUCCUUAAGUCUGAUGUGAAAGCCCCCGGCUCAACCGGGGAGGGUCAUUGGAAACUGGGGAACUUGAGUGCAGAAGAGGAGAGCGGAAUUCCACGUGUAGCGGUGAAAUGCGUAGAGAUGUGGAGGAACACCAGUGGCGAAGGCGGCUCUCUGGUCUGUAACUGACGCUGAGGCGCGAAAGCGUGGGGAGCGAACAGGAUUAGAUACCCUGGUAGUCCACGCCGUAAACGAUGAGUGCUAAGUGUUAGAGGGUUUCCGCCCUUUAGUGCUGCAGCAAACGCAUUAAGCACUCCGCCUGGGGAGUACGGCCGCAAGGCUGAAACUCAAAGGAAUUGAC
Molecule: ribosomal RNA, 559 nt
Filed under: uncultured bacterium
Lineage: Bacteria
Description: bacterial SSU rRNA
Rfam family: Bacterial small subunit ribosomal RNA
Source: RNAcentral